Molecule: ribosomal RNA, 403 nt
Filed under: uncultured bacterium
Lineage: Bacteria
Description: partial 16S ribosomal RNA
Rfam family: Bacterial small subunit ribosomal RNA
Source: RNAcentral
GACGAACGCUGGCGGCGUGCCUAAUACAUGCAAGUCGAACGCACUGGGGACGGGUGAGUAACACGUGGGUCACCUCCCAUCAGAUGGGAUAACACUUGGAAACAGGUGCUAAACCGAUACUGAUGGAUGAACCCGAGGUGUAUUAGCUAGUUGGUGGGGUAACGGCUCACCAAGGCCACGAUUCAUAGCCGAGCUGGGAGGGUGAUCGGCCACACUGGGACGGAGAAAGGGCCCAGAAGCCUACGGGUGGCAGCAGUAGGGAAGCUUCGGCAAUGGACGAAAGUCUGACCAGGCAACGCCGCGUGAGUGAAGAAGGUUUUCGGAUCGUAAAACUCUGUUGUUAGAGAAGCGGUAUCUAACCAGAAAGCCACGGCUAACUACGUGCCAGCAGCCGCGGUAAUUC